GUGUCAGCCGCCGCGGUAAUACGUAGGCAGCGAGCGUUGUUCGGAGUUACUGGGCGUAAAGAGUAUGUAGGCGGUUCUGCAAGUUUGGUGUGAAAUCUCCCGGCUUAACUGGGAGGGUGCGCCGAAAACUGCAGGGCUAGAGUGCGGGAGAGGAAAGCGGAAUUCCUGGUGUAGCGGUGAAAUGCGUAGAUAUCAGGAGGAACACCUGCGGUGUAGACGGCUUUCUGGACCGCCACUGACGCUGAGAUACGAAAGCGUGGGUAGCAAACAGGAUUAGAAACCCCGGUAGUCC
Molecule: ribosomal RNA, 292 nt
Filed under: uncultured bacterium
Lineage: Bacteria
Description: partial 16S ribosomal RNA
Rfam family: Bacterial small subunit ribosomal RNA
Source: RNAcentral